This 404-nucleotide unclassified non-coding RNA is filed under the name soil metagenome. RNAcentral's name for it is "partial contains 5.8S ribosomal RNA, internal transcribed spacer 2, and large subunit ribosomal RNA". The stretch from base 1 to 122 matches the Rfam family "5.8S ribosomal RNA", at positions 35 to 154 of the family's 154-position model. The record is from RNAcentral.
GAUGAAGAACGCAGCAAAAUGCGAUACUUGGUGUGAAUUGCAGAAUCCCGUGAACCAUCGAGUUUUUGAACGCAAGUUGCGCCCGAAGCCUUUUGGCCGAGGGCACGUCUGCCUGGGCGUCACGCAUCGCGUCGCCCCCCACAAUUCUCCGUAAAGGGAACAUGUGUUUUGGGGGCGGAUAUUGGUCUCCCGUGCUCAUGGCGUGGUUGGCCGAAAUAGGAGUCCUUUCGAUGGACGCACGAACUAGUGGUGGUCGUAAGAACCCUCGUCUUUUGUUUCGUGCUGUUGCUCGCAAGGUAAACUCUUUAAAAACCCCAAUGUGUCGUCUCUUGACGACGCUUCGACCGCGACCCCAGGUCAGGCGGGACUACCCGCUGAGUUUAAGCAUAUCAAUAAGCGGAGGA